CGGACGGGUGAGUAAUGUCUGGGAAACUGCCCGAUGGAGGGGGGUAACUACUGGAAACGGUAGCUAAUACCGCAUAACGUCGCAAGACCAAAGAGGGGGACCUUCGGGCCUCUUGCCAUCGGAUGUGCCCAGAUGGGAUUGGCUAGUAGGUGGGGUAACGGCUCACCUAGGCGACGAUCCCUAGCUGGUCUGAGAGGAUGACCAGCCACACUGGAACUGAGACACGGUCCAG
RNAcentral lists this ribosomal RNA (232 nucleotides) under uncultured bacterium. RNAcentral's name for it is "partial 16S ribosomal RNA". It matches the Rfam family "Bacterial small subunit ribosomal RNA", at positions 99 to 334 of the family's 1533-position model. The record is from RNAcentral.